Molecule: long non-coding RNA, 1004 nt
Filed under: Homo sapiens (human)
Lineage: Eukaryota; Metazoa; Chordata; Mammalia; Primates; Hominidae
Description: HSALNT0382376
Source: RNAcentral
CCUCCCAGAGGCCGUUUGUCCAAGUCACGUGAUCGUCGAAUCUGUUGACCUGGCGCCACCGGAAAAAGAAAUUCCCGGGCCCUGGCUUCUUGGCCUGAUGGUGAGGCACCAGAGGCACUGCUAGCCUUGAAGCCUCCAGCCUGCUGGAUGCCUCCAUCCCCGGCUAUGCUGUGGCUCUCCUCAUUCUAGGCCUCCUGCUCGUCACAUUCACCCUUGUCCUGGUGCUAAAGUGGAGGGCCUCCCAUGGGGUGUUCAGCCUGGGUGUGUAGAAGCACACAGUGUGGUACAGAGGACCCUCUCCAGACAGGUAAGUGGAGGGCGGUUCUCCCUGACCCCACCCCAAUUGUUUGUUCUGGGUGGGGUCCACCGCGCCCCCUGCCAAGGCCUUCUGCAAACACUCCCCAGGGGCUGUUGUGGGCAGCACCUGGGUGGUGCAGUUGGUGUGCCAGAAAAGCUCCCCAGUACUGGGCAGUGGCCCAGGCAGUCAAGCAGACUCCCUCAAGCAGGCCCCACCUACCCCUCGCCUGUUCCCAGCUGCCUCCCACCAACCCUAGAAAUGAUGCUGGGAGCUGACAGAAACUGAACUUAGGAGCACAGGAGGCCAGGAGACCUGGGACAGAGAACAGGAGGUGACCCCUCAUGCUGCUGCUCCCUCUGCUGAAACCCAAACUGCAAACCUCUCCUCUCCCUGCCUUCACCUUGCCCCACGGCUUCCACAGACAGUGCCUCAACCCCGAGGAAUGAAUCCGAAGUUCCAACACCACUGACUUUCCCAGGAACUCAGAGCCAGAGAGGGCCAAGGACCAGCUCGAGGACACACAGCCAGGGCUUCUUCCCUCCGAAACCCCCAAGGACUGGACUUGCAGGGCUGGGACAGAGGUGGGGUGGGGGAAAGCAAUGCCUUGUCAACCCACGUGGGGAGCCCCACUCCCAUCCCCAAGGUGCAUAAAGUUGAGGAACACCCCUGCUCCCACGUCCAUGCUCAUUCAGGGCCCUGCUCCAAG